Long non-coding RNA from Oxyura jamaicensis (ruddy duck), 628 nucleotides. RefSeq lists it as uncharacterized. The transcript is spliced from 4 exons. The record is from RefSeq and is a predicted model, not a curated record. NCBI's taxonomy places the organism in Eukaryota, Metazoa, Chordata, Aves, Anseriformes, Anatidae.
CCUGGACAGGCAGGGAGAAGGCAAUGCUUUUUCCCUGGAAAUAGCUCAGCAACAGUAUCCUUCAGUGAAAGGAAUUUUCACCUCUGGAAAGUUAACACCAUUUUAAUCCCAGGGCCACAGUUUCAAAAGGUCUUAAAAAACAUAGCAACAAUACAUUCCAACACUUCCCUCUGAUUAUGAGAAAGCACCCAACCCUCCAAGCCUAGAAUCAUCUUUCAGGAUUCCCAGCAAUUAUUUGAGGAAUGGUUGCAUUCUCAGUAAUACUCCUACAGUGACAGAAGAUGAUCAAAUAAGUUAGCUGGGAACUGGAAACUGCAUUCAGUUUCCAGCACUGACAAAGUCUUCCUGUAUGACCCGGGACUGCUUCAGGUUCUGUGCAAUACCCCAAAGAAGAAUUGAGCAGACCGGCUCAGCUCAGCAGCCUGACCUCACAUCCCCUCGCUCAUGCCCGCGGUGUGGCCUGGCACCCUUGCACCAACCAGCCUUUGCUAUUACAGCCAAAUCUUCCUCAGUGCAACUGCUGCCAAAGAUCUGAAGUGUUUCUGCUUUCCCUCUCACAUCCCUAAGAGCUAACCACAUACCCUUGCUACUGGCGUCCUGUAACUGCCUUGAAAAGAAAAAAAAAAAA